AUGAGCGAACCUUUUCAGAACUGGUUAGGAAUGGGCGCCACUAUCCCGGCCCGGAUCCAGCCAGGUUCUAUUGAUCAUGUCCCCUUCCCAACAGUUGUAUCUUGUCUUGGGGCGUCUUUCUUUGGCUUUACUAUCAAGCCAGACGCGGCGCCCUUUCGCAUUAUCAUCUACCGCCCUUUCUUUCCUCCCGUCCCUUCACGCAUGAAGAUCGUCGUAUGUAUGUUCGACUUCGGUUGCCGGUGCAAUAGAAUUGGCGGGAGUAUAUUAUGGCAGGAUCAGUCACCUGGGCAAACCAAAACCCUCCUCCAAGAAGAAUUGUGCUAUGCCCCCCCCCCCGAUAUCCCUAUAGAGCGAAAGAGCUGCCUGGUGAUCCCUAGGUUGCAGCACGUCCGGUCGUUAACUCCUCGCUAG
This 411-nucleotide ribosomal RNA is filed under the name Triticum aestivum (bread wheat). Its description in RNAcentral is "partial small subunit ribosomal RNA". Lineage: Eukaryota; Viridiplantae; Streptophyta; Magnoliopsida; Poales; Poaceae. The record is from RNAcentral.